UUUACAUUAGAACCGGAAAACGUAACUCCAAUGAACUUUUCUUCAUCUAGAAAUAAUUUCGUUUCUCUUUGAACUUUUCUUCAUCUAGAAAUAAUAAUAUCAAAAGAACGAGCUUCCUACAGAGAAAAGAAAUGUUUUAAGCUCAGACAAAAGAACUAUAUGUGGUAAACAAUAUGCUGAACGUCUUCAAAAUAGGGUGUUAAUAGAAAUCAGAACGGAGAAAGAUGAAAAGAUGCAGGAUUUAAUAACAAAAUGUUGUGGAUUAAUAGAGAGAGAAAAUAAUUUCCACUUUCAAAUUGUUUGACAAUAUUCAAAGAGGUAGGGGAUAGAACUAUGUUUGAUCUGACAUUAAAGCAAGAUAUGAGUAGAACCAAAUCUCCCAAAAUCUUUUUGUCUAUGUCAAAUAAUAGUGUUCAUAGGAGAUAUAUAGAGGCAGCAGAGUCACGAUUAAUUACCAACAAUAUCAAAAUAUAGAGUUUUGGUAUAUCUAUCUAUAAUAAUAAAGUAAGAUUUUCUCUCACCACAGGCUGUCAUGUCAGCAAGGAAGAGGGGGCUUUUUUAGACAUGUGGCUUCUCCCACUUCUUCAUAAACGUUUUCCGUACACAGAUUUUUGACGAGCCAAUCAGUUUUUAUUUAUAUCAUACCAUGUUUUAUAUUUGGGCUUAUAUUCUGUUAGUGUGUUCAGGCCCAAUGUAUUGUAGGUUUGCAUAUAAUAUGAGAUCAACGCUGUCGUUUUCCUUCAGAUGAAGCUUCAGAUGAACUUCAUGUAACGCUUUCAGUUUUCAUUUAUUUUCUCCUUUAAUCCGAGCAUUUACAAGCUUCAUCCCACUUGUCCCACUCUGAAGCAUUUAAUCGAGCUCAGCAUCGUCAUACAUAACCGUCGGAAGCUCUCCAAUAAAUUUGCAUGCUUCCGGCGAUGAACAGCUCCACCUUUACGAAAUCGAGAAGGAAAUUCUCUGCUAAUUACCAACUCCAACAAUGGCGUAUCCUUCACUCUGAUUUGAAAGCUGGCCGCUGUUCAAACACAAUUGAGAUCCGUCUUCUGAGGCUAGCAAUGUGCAGAGAGGCGGCGAUCUGAUGGAUGUUGACAUGCUACUCACUAACGAGAAGAGAAGGAUCCGAGAGUGCGAACGUCUCAUUAAUUUCAGAGACCAUUUCAGUGAAGGCUCUGUUUCUGAGAGGUUAAGAGCUCCCAUUUUAUGUUUUCCUCUCGGCUCAAACCGCCGCCGAUGGACUGCGUCGAGAUGAGCGAUGGAGGUUGGGUGGUGGAAAGAACAUGAAGUAAUUUGUAUCUUAAUUGGUUCGGUGAUAUGCAUAAACCAAAAAGCAUUGGCACUGACCUCACAAUACAAGACAUGAAGAACUGUACUCUAGCCUCUGUCUCCCAUAAGAAACAUUCUAUGUUCUACUGAUGAUCCCACUCAAUGGAGGAGCUUGCUAUCUGUGAGGAUAUAGAUCAGAUAGAACUGCAAGGUCUCAAAGAUAUACUCUGGCUUCUGUGGGUAGUACGUAUUGGAGGCAACAUUUUCCUCAUAUAAAGAAAGCUGACUGUCUGGAAGAAUUGGGUGGGUGAUCCAAAAGAAUAUUGAAUCUGUCAUAACUGUGAGAUAGUUCCAAGAUACAAAUUGACUGGUAAAGAUUUAUAGGGUUCAUGAACUUUUGAAGUCUCAGGUAUUCAGGAACUUAUAAGCAAAAGGUGAAGUUCAAGACCGUGAAAAUUUGGUGUAUUUAUUAUGAGAUGGAAUUAUAUUUUUUCCUUUGGACAUAUUCCAAGACACUGUCUGAGUCUAGACAACAAUGAACAAAGUAAUGAGUCAUUCACAAUCAUUGCAUAAUUGUUCAUACCCUGUGUCUAAAACGGUUAUAAGUAUUUUCAAAGUUAA
Molecule: long non-coding RNA, 1884 nt
Organism: Brassica napus (rape)
Lineage: Eukaryota; Viridiplantae; Streptophyta; Magnoliopsida; Brassicales; Brassicaceae
Exons: 5
Source: RefSeq, a predicted model, not a curated record